Molecule: ribosomal RNA, 466 nt
Filed under: uncultured bacterium
Lineage: Bacteria
Description: partial 16S ribosomal RNA
Rfam family: Bacterial small subunit ribosomal RNA
Source: RNAcentral
GAUGAACGCUGGCGGCGUGCUUAACACAUGCAAGUCGAACGGAAAGGCCCAAGCUUGCUUGGGUACUCGAGUGGCGAACGGGUGAGUAACACGUGGGUGAUCUGCCCUGCACUUCGGGAUAAGCCUGGGAAACUGGGUCUAAUACCGGAUAGGACCACAUUUUGGAUGGUGUGGUGGAAAGUUUUUCGGUGUGGGAUGAGCUCGCGGCCUAUCAGCUGGUUGGUGGGGGAAUGGCCUACCAAGGCGUCGGCGGGGAGCCGGCCUGAGAGGGGGGACGGCCACAGUGGGACUGAGAUACGGCCCAGACUCCUACGGGAGGGAGCAGUGGGGAAUAUUGCACAAAGGGCGCAAGCCUGAUGCAGCGACGCCGCGGGGGGGAUGACGGCCUUCGGGUUGUAAACUCCUUUCGCUAGGGACGAAGCGUUAUGUGACGGUACCUGGAGAAGAAGCACCGGCUAACUACGUG